CCUACGGGUGGCUGCAGUAGGGAAUCUUCCACAAUGGACGAAAGACUGAUGGAGCAACGCCGCGUGCGUGAAGAAGGGUUUCGGCUCGUAAAACUCUGUUGUUAAAGAAGAACAUAUCUGAGAGUAACUGUUCAGGUAUUGACGGUAUUUAACCAGAACGCCACGGCUCACUACGUGCCAGCAGCCGCGGUAAUACGUAGGUGGCAAGCGUUGUCCGGAUUUAUUGGGCGUAAAGCGAGCGCAGGCGGUUUUUUAAGUCUGAUGUGAAAGCCUUCGGCUCAACCGAAGAAGUGCAUCGGAAACUGGGAAACUUGAGUGCAGAAGAGGACAGUGGAACUCCAUGUGUAGCGGUGAAAUGCGUAGAGAUAUGGAAGAACACCAGUAGCGAAGGCGGCUGGCUGGUCUGUAACGGACGCUGAGGCUCGAAAGUAUGGGUAGCAAACAGGAUUAGAUACCCCGGUAGUC
This 465-nucleotide ribosomal RNA is filed under the name uncultured Lactobacillaceae bacterium. RNAcentral's name for it is "bacterial SSU rRNA". It matches the Rfam family "Bacterial small subunit ribosomal RNA", at positions 338 to 795 of the family's 1533-position model. The record is from RNAcentral. Lineage: Bacteria; Bacillati; Bacillota; Bacilli; Lactobacillales; Lactobacillaceae.